RNAcentral lists this ribosomal RNA (27 nucleotides) under fungal sp. 3.23.3C. RNAcentral describes it as "partial 28S ribosomal RNA". The record is from RNAcentral. Lineage: Eukaryota; Fungi.
UUGACCUCGGAUCAGGUAGGACUACUC